UUGGUGCGUGUAUCGCUUUUAGAAAAAUCUCGUGUGACCGAUACAAGAAGUGUGUCGUUUGGAUGUGACGCGCCAAAUUGUGUUUAUAAAGGAACAAACUGUCGACGUUGCAGAUUUGUUAAAUGGAGUUUUGCUGAUGUUGUUGGAUUUGGGAUUUUUGCUUGCCCUCACCUUGUUCCAUUGACUUCAUGGAUCGUUCCAAGAAGUUUUCCCCAGUCUGGAAUAAUUUUUAUCUUUUGAUGCCAAAUAAGGUGAAGUGUCGGCUCUGCUCCACACAGCUAUCUUACAUCAAUAAGAGCACUUCAUCAAUGCUGAGGCAUUAUAGAGCUCGGCAUGGCAAUGAAGAAUUGGCAGAUACACUCGUGUGAGUACCUCAGUUCCUAACAAGCAAGCAGUGGAUGGGGCUGUGGUCAACAUGGUUAUCAAAGACUGUCAGCCACUCACCAUUGUUGACAACGAAGGAUUCAAGGAGCUCCUGAAGCUUAUCAACUUGCAGUUACAUUUUUAUGCUCACCACCUUCAUCUGUACCCUGUGAAAUAGUUUUUUUCUAAGGCAGGGGAACGGGCGUCUAAGUGGAGAAAUCGCCUUGGAGCAGACUUUUGUUCCUCAAUAAA
Phycodurus eques (leafy seadragon) is the source of this 615-nucleotide long non-coding RNA. RefSeq lists it as uncharacterized. The transcript is spliced from 3 exons. NCBI's taxonomy places the organism in Eukaryota, Metazoa, Chordata, Actinopteri, Syngnathiformes, Syngnathidae. The record is from RefSeq and is a predicted model, not a curated record.